UACGGAGGGUGCAAGCGUUAUCCGGAUUCACUGGGUUUAAAGGGUGUGUAGGCGGGCUGUUAAGUCAGUGGUGAAAUCUCCGGGCUCAACCCGGAAACUGCCAUUGAUACUAUCAGUCUUGAAUAUUGUUGAGGUGGGCGGAAUAUGUCAUGUAGCGGUGAAAUGCAUAGAGAUGACAUAGAACACCGAUUGCGAAGGCAGCUCACUAAACAUGUAUUGACGCUGAGGCACGAAAGCGUGGGGAGCAAACAGG
Molecule: ribosomal RNA, 253 nt
Filed under: uncultured bacterium
Lineage: Bacteria
Description: partial 16S ribosomal RNA
Rfam family: Bacterial small subunit ribosomal RNA
Source: RNAcentral